CCUACGGGAGGCAGCAGUGAGGAAUAUUGGUCAAUGGGCGCGAGCCUGAACCAGCCAAGUAGCGUGAAGGAUGACUGCCCUACGGGUUGUAAACUUCUUUUAUAAAGGAAUAAAGUGAGGCACGUGUGCCUUUUUGUAUGUACUUUAUGAAUAAGGACCGGCUAACUCCGUGCCAGCAGCCGCGGUAAUACGGAGGAUCCGAGCGUUAUCCGGAUUUAUUGGGUUUAAAGGGAGCGUAGGUGGGAUGUUAAGUCAGUUGUGAAAGUUUGCGGCUCAACCGUAAAAUUGCGAGUGAUACUGGCAGCCUUGAGUGCGCGUGACGUAGGCGGAAUUCGUGGUGUAGCGGUGAAAUGCUUAGAUAGCACGAAGAACUCCGAUUGCGAAGGCAGCAUACCGGCGCCCGACUGACGCUGAAGCACGAAGGCGUGGGUAUCGAACAGGAUUAGAUACCCUAGUAGUC
This 460-nucleotide ribosomal RNA is filed under the name uncultured bacterium. Its description in RNAcentral is "partial 16S ribosomal RNA". It matches the Rfam family "Bacterial small subunit ribosomal RNA", at positions 338 to 795 of the family's 1533-position model. The record is from RNAcentral.